UACAGAGGGGGCUAGCGUUGUUCGGAAUUACUGGGCGUAAAGCGCACGUAGGCGGCUUUGUAAGUUAGAGGUGAAAGCCCAGGGCUUAACCCUGGAAUUGCCUUUUAAGACUGCAUCGCUAGAAUUGUGGAGAGGUAAGUGGAAUUCCGAGUGUAGAGGUGAAAUUCGUAGAUAUUCGGAAGAACACCAGUGGCGAAGGCGACUCGCUGGACAAGUAUUGACGCUGAGGUGCGAAAGCGUGGGGAGCAAACAGG
Molecule: ribosomal RNA, 254 nt
Filed under: uncultured bacterium
Lineage: Bacteria
Description: partial 16S ribosomal RNA
Rfam family: Bacterial small subunit ribosomal RNA
Source: RNAcentral